Molecule: long non-coding RNA, 516 nt
Filed under: Cricetulus griseus (Chinese hamster)
Lineage: Eukaryota; Metazoa; Chordata; Mammalia; Rodentia; Cricetidae
Description: lncRNA (ENSCGRG00015038492.1)
Source: RNAcentral
GUAGCAUACUACCAUUCCCACGUUCAGGCAGAUAUCAUCUUGUUGCAUACUAUCCUUACAAAUUGGAGGUUCUGACACAUAAAGAAGCCAAAGGUCAUUUUAAGAUACUUGAAACAUCUUUCUCAGGAACAAGAUAAUCAAAGUUUCUACCCCUCCCAACUACUCAAUCCAUUGAACAAGUACAGCUGGUACUGUUCUCAGAGGGUGGUUCUCUCUAUGUUGAACUAGAUGUUCCAGAAAUGGCUGGGUAGACCAGGCUGAACUCAACUUCACAGAAAUCCCCCUAUCUCUACUUCUCAUGUCAGGACAAUAAAGGCAUUUACCUACCAAGAAACACGGGUUCAGAUUCUUUCCCUGGCUUUUCUUUCAUGCUGAUUUAUUAGUGUUCUCUGGAUGGAAUAUCUGUGUUUAUCCCUGUGAUGUGUCUAUUACAUAUGCUUCAAAUUCUUCAUUUUUCAUUUUCUCUAUGAAUGCUACUUCUUUUCUUAUGUAUGGUUUUCUUCCUCUGUGGUGCUG